UAGUAUUGUUGAUUUAUUUGUUUAAUUUGAAGUUAUCUAGUUUUAUUUAUUAAAUUACAUUAUCUUAUAUCAUGUGUCUUUUAUUCGACUAUAUAACUAUAUAUUUUAUUUUUACACGGUUGUGGAUCUAUGUUUAUAGUUAUUUUAUAGAAUCCUCGACAUAAAUAUUUAAAAUACAUUCUACAUUUAUUUAAUUAGAAAACUUAACAUAACUCUUUUAUAUAAAAAAAUAUUCAUUUUUGUUUUUAUAUUUAUUUUUUUAUUUCUGUAUUUUAUUAUAUUUUUCCUAACAAUUAUUUUGAUUUUUUAUUAUCUAUUAUUUUUUUGUUGUGGUCUUCUUUUCGUAUAAAUUUUUUUUAAUCUUUUAUGUAUUAUUAUCUCUUAAAAUAGUUAUUAAUUAACACCAAAUCUGAAACUAAUGUCUUAAAAUUAAUAGUUGUUUACAUAUAAUAAGUCAAAUGGAUAGUUGUUUCCUCAAAAAGAUGGAGGAAUUAAUUGUUUUAUAAUCUAACAAAAUUCAAAAUAAAAUAAUUGUAUUAUUAUCAUAAAAGAACCUAGUAGAUAAAUUAAUUUUCCAUCUAAAUUAAUA
This 589-nucleotide long non-coding RNA is filed under the name Brassica rapa (field mustard). Its description in RNAcentral is "long non-coding RNA (BRAP_LNC007543)". Lineage: Eukaryota; Viridiplantae; Streptophyta; Magnoliopsida; Brassicales; Brassicaceae. The record is from RNAcentral.